GAGGGGGUCGCGGCCGAUUAGUUAGUUGGCAGGGUAAUGGCCUACCAAGACGAUGAUCGGUAUCCGGCCUGAGAGGGCGCACGGACACACUGGAACUGAAACACGGUCCAGACUCCUACGGGAGGCAGCAGUGGGGAAUUUUGCGCAAUGGGGGAAACCCUGACGCAGCAACGCCGCGUGGAGGAUGAAGUCCUUCGGGACGUAAACUCCUUUCGAUCGGGACGAUUAUGACGGUACCGGAAGAAGAAGCCCCGGCUAACUUCGUGCCAGCAGCCGCGGUAAUACGAGGGGGGCGAGCGUUGUUCGGAAUUAUUGGGCGUAAAGGGUGCGUAGGCGGUUUGGUAAGUCUGAUGUGAAAUCUAUGGGCUCAACUCAUAGUCUGCAUCGGAAACUGCCGGGCUUGAGUGUGGGAGAGGUGGGUGGAAUUCCUGGUGUAGCGGUGAAAUGCGUAGAUAUCAGGAGGAACACCUGUGGCGAAAGCGGCUCACUGGACCAUAACUGACGCUGAUGCACGAAAGCUAGGGGAGCAAACAGGAUUAGAUACCCUGGUAGUCCUAGCCCUAAACGAUGACUGCUUGGUGU
Molecule: ribosomal RNA, 582 nt
Filed under: uncultured bacterium
Lineage: Bacteria
Description: bacterial SSU rRNA
Rfam family: Bacterial small subunit ribosomal RNA
Source: RNAcentral